AUUGAACGCUGGCGGCAGGCCUAACACAUGCAAGUCGAGCGGAUGAAGGGAGCUUGCUCCUGGAUUCAGCGGCGGACGGGUGAGUAAUGCCUAGGAAUCUGCCUGGUAGUGGGGGAUAACGUCCGGAAACGGGCGCUAAUACCGCAUACGUCCUGAGGGAGAAAGUGGGGGAUCUUCGGACCUCACGCUAUCAGAUGAGCCUAGGUCGGAUUAGCUAGUUGGUGGGGUAAAGGCCUACCAAGGCGACGAUCCGUAACUGGUAUGAGAGGAUGAUCAGUCACACUGGAACUGAGACACGGUCCAGAGUACUACGGGAGGAAGCAGUGGGGAAUAUUGGACAAUGGGCGAAAGCAUGAUCCAGCCAUGCCGCGUGUGUGAAGAAGGUCUUCGGAUUGUAAAGCACUUUAAGUUGGGAGGAAGGGAAGUAAGUUAAUACCUUGCUGUUUUGACGUUACCAAAAGAAUAAGCACCGGCUAACUUCGUG
Molecule: ribosomal RNA, 484 nt
Filed under: uncultured bacterium
Lineage: Bacteria
Description: partial 16S ribosomal RNA
Rfam family: Bacterial small subunit ribosomal RNA
Source: RNAcentral